CAACUUUUAUCUGUGGAGUGAUUUUCAAUUUUUUUUCUUGAAGAGUAGGUAAAGUAUUUUUGUAGGGAAAUUGAGAGAGUGAAAAAGUGAGUGAUCUGGAAAAGAUGAAUGUGUGUUGUGCGUGAUGGAGAGGGAAAGAGUGAAUGAGAGUGCGUCGGAGUGGUGUGAGGUUGCGUGAGUGUGAGAGAGAAAAAGUGAAUGCGAGAAUAAAAGAGACAAAACAUAAAGUGAGAUGAGAAGAACCCUAAAUGUAUAUUUAAUCACUAUCAUUUUACUUUACUGUACUGCAGUUUAUUGUAUACAAAAUUUGAGAGGUUUGGUUUGAGAAAAAAUGUAUUACAAAUUAUAGUUAACUCAUAAUAUUUUUAAUCUUUGUUUUAGAAAAUUUGAACAAAUUUCAGAGUGGUAAGGCAUCGACGAGAUGGGACUCAUAGGCUAGGAGUCUCUACUCGAUUCAAGGUAUAAAUGCAAGGAGCCAGAAUAUUUCUCUUUUGAUACCGCAGGCAUUCAGCAUUAAUGCACCUUCUCUCUCAUCUGAAAUCAACAGGUAUUUUUCCAUUUUCACCACCUCUUGUUUUCUUUGAUUUUUUCAAGUAACUUUUAUCAGAGUAAGUAUCCUUCCACUUUUCACAUAUUUUAAGUCCAACCAUCUGCUUCUGAUAUAUGUUAGUAUUCUUUGUUCUCGGAAGUUUACAACGGUUGGUUGCCAGAAUUUUUGGGACGGCAAAGAGAAGUAUUAGAGAACAAUGAUUUCGGCAAUUUCAUGGAUACCAAAAGGAGUAUCAAAAUCAGUACCCUUGGUUCUUGAUCAUUCUCUCCAAGAAGAUCUUGAAGAAUUUAUCCCUCUCCAAUCAGGUGAGUGAGACUACGAAUAAAGAUGAAGAUGUGGUGGUGUAGUAUCUGACAACAUAAUCCAUGCCUUGAAGGACCUGCACAUGGAACGUUAUGAUGAUGAGGAUGAACGUAUUCAUCUAUUUAUCCAUAUUUUGCCUCAUUCUUUUUCUCUGUUAUGUCAUUUUCUCUUGCAGCUUAUAUUGAUUACAUGAAUAAGUAGGAUUUGAGUUGUUUAGUUCGGGGACCGGUGAUCUAUACUAUCCAAUCAACAACAUGGAUCCAUAUCUGAAGAUAAAAAAUUUAGUUCAACACUUCUAUUAUUACACGUCUGUUCAGUUUUUGAUUUUAUGACAUUUGUUGUCAGGAUUAUGAUUCUGAAGAACUUGAAGACAUGACCAAAUUGUUUAUUGUGAUAAAAGUAUAUUAUACAUUUUUCUAUAUCUGAUUAGACAUUGCUAGACUUAUGAGUAAUUUGUUUAUGCUCUAUCAGGUUUCGAUACUUGAGAACAGAGAAAAGGACAUGUAUCGUCACCAUGGGUUUCAAAUUUCAGCAUUCCCAGCUUUGCACCGCUUGGCUUGAUUGCCCCUUUCAAGGAGGAGACAGAGGUAAAAAAACUGUGAUUUCUUUGUCAUGUAUUAACUAUUUGUUUUUGGAAUUAUGCUUUUAUUUUUCAUAUGAAAAUUGAAUAUAAUGGUUACUGGUCUCAAUCAAACAAGUUCAAGCUUUAGAUCGUGAAUCUUUUCAAUUAGGUAAACAUGUUAGAUCUUUCUUUCCUUAAAAGUCUGAUAGACAUUGUAAUUCUAUUUUUUCUAAUAUUUAUUAUGAAAUAUUUGAGGAUAAGGGUGUCACUUCCUUUGAUUUUAAUUAUUUUAUAAACUUCAUUGAUGAAUUCUCUCAAAGUACUUGGGUUUAUUUAAUGAAAGACAUGUGUGAAUUUUAUUCAUAUUUAUCUCUUCAAUGAAAUUAAGAAUUGGAAAGAUAAUAAAAAUUCUUAAAAGUGAUAAUGCUAAGGAGUAUUUUUUUCUUGUGUUUUCUUCAUUCUUAUCUUCUGAAAUUUUACAUAAGUCAACAAAUUCUCAUACUCUACACUAAAAUAUUAUACAGAGAGGAAGAAUAGAUAUCUUAUUGAAAUUGUUCCCUCUCUAACGCUCAAUACUAAUGUUCAUGUUCAUCAUACAGUCCUCAUUGUUUUUUUUCUGAUGAAUAGGAUGUGUUCUUCCUCCUUGAAAAUAAAGUUCCUUACUCUUUAAUUUUUCCUAAAGCCUCUAGAUCAUGUCUCUCCAUGUGUUUGGAUAUAUUUGUUUUGUUCAUAAUGUUUCUCUAGAUCUUGACAAGCUUUCUAUAAAAGCUAUUAAGUAUGUCUUUUUGGGAUAUUCUCACUUUCAGAAAGGAUAUAAAUGUUAUUCUCCGAUAACUAAAAGGUAUUAUAUAUAUGUUGAUGUUACCUUCGAGGAAAUGCCUUUUUUCUUGUUCUCCAUAGAACAUUCUUCAUUUAAUAGGUUCUUCAUGGACCAUCUUGUGAGAUAUGUGAGAAACUAUGCUCUGAUUAAAAGCUGUCCAAAAUCAUUCCAAACAUUCUCCUGAAAAUUAGUUACAUUCUAAAAUGGAACAUGUUAUCACUUAUCUGUUUUAGUCAUAUGGAAGUAGUUCAUUUCUCUUUUAUUUUAAAAUUUAAGCAAUGAGUUUUUAGUAAUAAGUACGUGAAUUUAAUGUCUGUGUCAACUGCCCGUAUUUGGAGGAUAAGAAAGUAUUCUUUGAAGCAUGUAUACCUUGAAACUUACAUUACAUUAUCAGUGUCUCCUUGUAAGUCAUGUGAGAAAUUCUGCUGAUUAAAAAGCUGUCCAAAUCAUUUCAAACUUCCUCCUGAAAGUUUAGUUACCUCCUAAAAUCUUACACAUUAUCACUUGUCUUUUUUAGUCACAUGCAUCUAUUUUUUUCUCUCCAAAAUUUAAGCAAAACUUAUCAGUAAUAAGUGUGUGAAUUUGAGUUUUAUGAAUAAUUUUUAAGAGAUAUAAAAUAUAAACUUACAAAUUUAUAAUAUUUAAAUAAUAAUAAUAAAACAAAAUUAAUUUAUUUAUUUCUAUCUUUUUAUUAAUUAAUAUUAUUAUUAUGUAAUAUAUAUAUAUAUAUAUCAAGUUGACACAUAGUCAUCUGAAACAUGGUAGUUGAAUAGAGAUAUAAGUAAUGUAUCGAAGAGGUGAUUUUCUGAAUCUUGUAUUGUUUCAACCAUGGUUGUUGCUCAGGGGAAGUCUGAUUUAGUUUGUAAAAUACAUCGAUGACUUUAUAUGCUAUUGAUAUUUUGGAGGUGACAAGCCUAACAAAUUGCAAGCCUAUUAGCAAUUCUAUGGAUUCAAAUUAGAAAUUAAUAAGAGACCAAGGUGAACCCUUUUCAGACCGAGAUAGGUAUAGGAGAUUGGUGGAAAAACUCAUUUAUCUCACUAUAAGAAGACCUGAACUUUCUUAUCCACUGGGAGUUGUGAGUCAAUUUAUGCAGAACCCUCACAUUGAUCAAUGGAAUGUUGUGAUUCACACUCUCAGAUAUGUAAAGGGGAUCCUAGGAGAUCAGUGGCAUGUUUUGAUUCACAUCCUCAACUAUAUAGAAGGGACCUUAGGACAUACUGGGGAAAUACACAAGUCUUAGGGUAUUGUAAUGCAAAUUGGGCUAACUGUCCCAUUGACAAGAGAUCUAGCACAAGAUAUUGCAUAUUCUUUGGGGGAAUCUUAAAUAUUGGAAAAACAUGAAACAAAUUGUUGUUGUCCGGUCUAGUGUAGAAACUGAAUAUGGAUCUAUGACUUUAGCUACAUGUGAACUUGUGUUGUGUGGAUUAAACAACUCUUUCAAGAGUUAAAAUUUUGUAAAAAUAAGUAGAUGAAUUUGUAUUGUGACGAUCAAGAAGCUCUCAUUGCCUCCAAUCCUGUGUUUCAUGAGAAACAUAUAUAGAUUAAUUGUCAUUUUGUUAGAGAGAAAUUGCUCUCCAUGGAUCUUAUUAGUGAGUUUGUCAAUUUUAAUAAACAAUUUGCGGAUAUUCUAACUAAAUAUCUAAGACGACCUAGGAUUCAAUUUAUAUGUUUCAAGAUUUGUGCAUAUAACUUAUAUGCUCCAACUUCAGGAAUGUUAAAAUGUAAUGUUAUUUUAUUAUUAUUUCUUUUAUAUGUAUCUAGCUUUAUGUUUAGGGUUUAAGAUAAGUGUUGCCAUAUUUUUUAGAUUGAGAAAGAGAUAGCUCACUUAGUAACAUGAUAUAUAAUUUUUCAUAUUACUGAUAUCAUGAAAGCAAUCAUAUAUGUAUCACUAACUCCUCUCACCACCAUUUAAAUCAUUUGUUAGAAAGAAAAAACAAAAUUAUUCAUUUACUAAUUCAUUUGGCAGGACAAUAAUCUUGAUCUUUUUUUAUAUUCUAUUCAACAUCACUACAAUCUAAUUGUAGUUUUGAAACAUUCUGUAAUCUUCAUUGUCUAUCCUUUCUUAACUGAAAAUUAAUUAUUACAGGAACAAUUUACUGGAGUGAUAUGAAUGAAUUAUGGAGAAAAUAAUAUCUGUUACUAUGUUCUGAUUUAUGCUUUCAAAUAUAGUAUUACUGAAAAUCUGAAACUCUUUUCCAAUCUUUGUAUUUUGGCACGUUGGUGGGCUGUUUGACAUUCUGUUGUUGCUAACCUCCCAAAGUUUGCUCUUCGAGAUGACAGGGUGGUUGAAAUCGAUAUUGGGGGAGAUGACAGUUGAAAUCAGUGGAACUGCUUCUCAAGUCCAAACAGCUCAGUGAUCUUGGUCUUUUAAUCAACUUUAAAAAAUUCAAUCCGUAAGAUGCUGCAUGUCUUGUAAAUAUUUUUUUCAGUUAGAUUUCUAUCUUAUUAGUAGUAUGAUUUUUUUUUUUAGUGAACAGCUUUUUGCAGUGUUCAUUUGAGAGACCUAAAAUAUUCAUUGCAUUUUGAAUUUCAUCAAGAUUUAUAACUAAAAAUGGAGAAAACUAAAGCUAGUUGAAUUUCAAAAUUACAGUUACCCAUCAAAGUAUCAUCUGAAUAAAAAAUUGGGAGUAAAUUUCUAAUUUUUCUUGCAACCUUCCUAUUCAGCUUCUCAUUUAAUUUUCAAUCUUUUGUUUCUAUGAGAGGCUGAGGGUUUUCUGAAUUUGAUGCUUGUUAAACCAAACAUGCACUUUCCCUACCGUGAUUAGUAUGCAUGGUAAUCAAGCAUUACGGUUAAUGAAUGUGGUGCAGAAUUUUAUGGCUGAAGCUGCAGCCGGUGGAGCACCAGCACAGCCGCAAGCAGGUGGUACUGCUGCAGAGCAAGGAUACAAUUCUUAUCCAUUGUUAGCAAGGAACCUUGCUUUACGUUUAGCCUGUUGUCUUAAUAAUAAUUACAUUUAUACAGUUUUCUCCUCUCUCUGUAAGGUAUUUUUCCUAGUUUUUGUAACAGAUAAAUCGAUUCUCA
Molecule: long non-coding RNA, 5258 nt
Filed under: Phaseolus vulgaris (common bean)
Lineage: Eukaryota; Viridiplantae; Streptophyta; Magnoliopsida; Fabales; Fabaceae
Description: long non-coding RNA (PVUL_LNC002689)
Source: RNAcentral